UCCGAACAUCCCGGGACUUCCUAGCAUCCAAGAACUACCAAACAUCCUGGGGACUCCAAACAUUCCAGGAUUCCCUAACAUACCGGGUAUCCCUAAUCUCCCUAGCCUCCCAGACCUUCCAGACUUCCCUCGUCUCCCAGACUUACCGGGACUCCCUCGCCUCCCAGACCUCCCUGACCUCCCGACCCUUCCUCGCCUCCCUCCCCUUCCGGGCCUCCCGGGCCUCCCAGGCCUCCCUAGCUUACUGAGUCUGCCUCCUUUACCACCAUUCCAAUCAGUAGUCUUUUCGCAAUCAUUAGAAAUGGAGAACUGCUU
This 315-nucleotide long non-coding RNA is filed under the name Eutrema salsugineum. Its description in RNAcentral is "long non-coding RNA (ESAL_LNC000395)". The record is from RNAcentral. Lineage: Eukaryota; Viridiplantae; Streptophyta; Magnoliopsida; Brassicales; Brassicaceae.